GAUCAGAGUAAUUUGAUCUUUACCAAAUACUUUGUUAGUCUUAUUGAAUAAUUUCUUGGAUGACUACUUUUUCCUUUUACUUGAGUAAAAAUAUGUUGAAGUAUUUUUAGUCUUACUUUAGUACGUUUGUACUAAAUCUUUGGGGAAUAAAUUCUUUGAUAACUUUCAGAACAGUUCUGUUGUCUAUCCUCUGCUGCAGGGAUAAACUUUCUAACAGCUACAACAUUAACCAAACAAACUCGUUACAACUUGAGGUUUUCUGUGCUUUAGUUUAUUGAAAUGUUAUAUUUAUAUGGGUUCUGUUUAUUUGUUUCUGUUCAGACCCAAACCUCCUGCACUAUGGGAUUCCCCUCCAUCUUGGUCCCACUGUGGGUUACUUUGAACUGGACCUGAUCCGUGUACCUGGUCGUUACAUGAUCCGUGGAGAUGAGCUGGGCAUCAACCUUCAGGAACUUGGGGUUGUUCUCCGUUUCUGUUCCGCUGCUGGAAACAUCGGAUUGGAUCUGAUCCAUGGAUCUGUUCGGAUCUGGGUCCAAGGUUUCCUGUCAGUUCUCCCAUGGCUGGAUGGAAACAACACUGGGCCUCAUUGGACCUUCUGUCUUCAGAAUAAUUAGAAAACUGGACAACCUGUUGCAAGAGGU
Long non-coding RNA from Xiphophorus couchianus (Monterrey platyfish), 641 nucleotides. RefSeq lists it as uncharacterized. The transcript has 3 exons. The record is from RefSeq and is a predicted model, not a curated record. NCBI's taxonomy places the organism in Eukaryota, Metazoa, Chordata, Actinopteri, Cyprinodontiformes, Poeciliidae.